This 427-nucleotide ribosomal RNA is filed under the name uncultured bacterium. RNAcentral's name for it is "partial 16S ribosomal RNA". It matches the Rfam family "Bacterial small subunit ribosomal RNA", at positions 354 to 796 of the family's 1533-position model. The record is from RNAcentral.
GUGGGGAAUAUUGGGCAAUGGGGGAAACCCUGACCCAGCGACGCCGCGUGAGGGAAGAAGGCCUUAGGGUCGUAAACCUCUGUUGUGUGGGAAGAAGAGCGUGACGGUACGACACGAGGAAGUCCCGGCUAACUACGUGCCAGCAGCCGCGGUAAUACGUAGGGGACGAGCGUUGUCCGGAUUUACUGGGCGUAAAGGGCGCGUAGGCGGUCAUUUAAGUCAGCUGUGAAAUGGUUUGGCUUAACCGGAUCAUGCGGUUGAAACUGGAUGACUGGAGUGCUGGAGAGGCAAGUGGAAUUCCCAGUGUAGCGGUGAAAUGCGUAGAUAUUAGGAAGAACACCGGUGGCGAAGGCGGCUUACUGGACUGAAACUGACGCUGAGGCACGAAAGCGUGGGGAGCGAACAGGAUUAGAUACCCGGGUAGUCC